UACGAAGGGGGCUAGCGUUGUUCGGAAUUACUGGGCGUAAAGCGCACGUAGGCGGCCAUUUAAGUCAGGGGUGAAAUCCCGGGGCUCAACCCCGGAACUGCCUUUGAUACUGGGUGUCUUGAGUGUGGAAGAGGUCGGUGGAAUUGCGAGUGUAGAGGUGAAAUUCGUAGAUAUUCGCAGGAACACCAGUGGCGAAGGCGGCCGACUGGUCCACAACUGACGCUGAGGUGCGAAAGCGUGGGGAGCAAACAGG
RNAcentral lists this ribosomal RNA (253 nucleotides) under uncultured bacterium. Its description in RNAcentral is "partial 16S ribosomal RNA". It matches the Rfam family "Bacterial small subunit ribosomal RNA", at positions 524 to 776 of the family's 1533-position model. The record is from RNAcentral.